CCUACGGGUGGCAGCAGUGAGGAAUAUUGGUCAAUGGGCGGAAGCCUGAACCAGCCAAGUCGCGUGAGGGAAUAAGGCCCUACGGGUCGUAAACCUCUUUUGCCGGGGAGCAAGCGCGGGGACGUGUCCCCGCCCGGAGAGUACCCGGAGACAAAGCAUCGGCUAACUCCGUGCCAGCAGCCGCGGUAAUACGGAGGAUGCGAGCGUUCUCCGGAUUUAUUGGGUUUAAAGGGUGCGUAGGCGGGCUUUUAAGUCAGCGGUAAAAAUUCGGGGCUCAACCCCGUCCGGCCGUUGAAACUGGGGGCCUUGAGUGGGCGAGAAGAAGGCGGAAUGCGUGGUGUAGCGGUGAAAUGCAUAGAUAUCACGAAGAAAUCCGAUUGCGAAGGCAGUUCACUGGACUGGAACUGACACUGAGGCUCGAAAGUGUGGGUAUCAAACAGGAUUAGAUACCCUGUAGUC
RNAcentral lists this ribosomal RNA (459 nucleotides) under uncultured bacterium. Its description in RNAcentral is "partial 16S ribosomal RNA". It matches the Rfam family "Bacterial small subunit ribosomal RNA", at positions 338 to 795 of the family's 1533-position model. The record is from RNAcentral.